AGAGGAUGAAGGUUAUUUAGUUAAUUAGUUACACUGUUUGUUUAAAAUAAAUCUGCAAAGAUCUUUGUAUUCAGUUGUUUAAAACAAAAAUUUAUUUUUGUUUUAUUCAGAUAGACUUAAAGGGUGAGAGCUUUAUACUUUUUUUUAAUAUGUUACAAUUACUUCUAAUUAUAGGAAGUAAUUAUAAUAUUUAUAGUGUUUAUUUAUUAAAUACUAUAAAUAAUAAAAAGGUAACCCUUUUCAGAAUAACACUCUAAAAAGGGAAAACAUCAUUGAUGUUAUUAGUCUAUAUAUUAAUUACUCAAUAAUAUGGGUAAGCAGUGUAUCGUCGAUUUUAUUGAGUAAAAUUCUAGAUAGUGAUAAUAUGAUUAUGACAAAAAACUAUUUAUAAGUCUUGACCAAAAUACAUGCCAGCAGUCGCGGUAAGAUGUAAAAGACUAGUGUUAUUCAUCUUUAAUAGGUUUAAAGGGUACCUAGACGGUUUAUUUAGUCUUUAACAGGAUACAAAUAAUCUAGAGUUAUACGUAAGGAGGUGAGUAUUUAUGGAGUAAAGUUGAAAUUUGUUGAUACCAUAAGGACUGGUAAAGGCGAAAGCAACCUUUUAUCUAAUAACUGACGUUGAGGGACGAAGGCUUGGGUAACGAACAGGAUUAGAUACCCUAGUAGUCCUUGCAGACAAUUAUGAAUGCCAUAGGUUAGAUAAUAAUUUAGUCUAUAAAUGAAAGUGUAAGCAUUUCACCUCAAGAGUAAUGUGGCAACGCAGGAACUGAAAUCAUUAGACCGUUUCUGAAACCAGUAGUGAAGUAUGUUAUUUAAUUCGUAGGUACGCGAAAAACCUUACCACAACUUGAAUAUUAUCAACUAUGAUAUUACAAGUGUUGCAUGGCUGUCUGCAGUUAAUGUCGUGAGAUUUGGAUAGCUCCUUAAAUUAACGGAAGCCCUUACUUUAGUUGAAAAUCACAAUAAAGUAGUACAGGAAUCUAUAAUGGAAAGCUGUGAAACAGGGACUAAUA
RNAcentral lists this ribosomal RNA (1013 nucleotides) under Arachnopeziza aurelia. RNAcentral describes it as "SSU rRNA". The stretch from base 222 to 1013 matches the Rfam family "Bacterial small subunit ribosomal RNA", at positions 1 to 1185 of the family's 1533-position model. The record is from RNAcentral. Lineage: Eukaryota; Fungi; Ascomycota; Leotiomycetes; Helotiales; Arachnopezizaceae.